UAAUGUCCACCAUUGUAACUGGUGUC
RNAcentral lists this microRNA (26 nucleotides) under Tribolium castaneum (red flour beetle). Its description in RNAcentral is "tca-miR-3803-3p". The record is from miRBase by way of RNAcentral. Lineage: Eukaryota; Metazoa; Arthropoda; Insecta; Coleoptera; Tenebrionidae.